RNAcentral lists this ribosomal RNA (911 nucleotides) under Enterobacter sp. sun6. Its description in RNAcentral is "bacterial SSU rRNA". It matches the Rfam family "Bacterial small subunit ribosomal RNA", at positions 520 to 1432 of the family's 1533-position model. The record is from RNAcentral. Lineage: Bacteria; Pseudomonadati; Pseudomonadota; Gammaproteobacteria; Enterobacterales; Enterobacteriaceae.
GUAAUACGGAGGGGUGCAAGCGUUUAUCGGAAUUAUUGGGCGUAAAGCGCACGCAGGCGGUUUGUCAAGUCGGAUGUGAAAUCCCCGGCUCAACGUGGAAGUGCAUUGGAACUGGCAGGCUUGAGUCUGGUAGAGGAAGGUAGAAUUCCAGGUGUAGCGGUGAAAUUCGUAGAGAUCUGGAGGAAUACCGGUGGCGAAGGCGGCCUCYUGGACGAAGACUGACGCUCAGGUGCGAAAGCGUGGGGAGCAACCAGGAUUAGAUACCCUGGUAGUCCACGCCGUAAASGAUGUCGACUUGGAGGUUGUGCCCUUGAGGCCGUGGCUUCCGGAGCUAACGCGUUAAGUCGUCCGCCUGGGGAGUACGGCCGCAAGGUUAAAACUCAAAUGAAUUGACGGGGGCCCGCACAAGCGGUGGAGCAUGUGGUUUAAUUCGAUGCAACGCGAAGAACCUUACCUGGUCUUGACAUCCACAGAAUUUCUCAGAGAUGAGGAAGUUCCUUCGGGAACUGUGAGACAGGUGCUGCAUGGCUGUCGUCAGCUCGUGUUGUGAAAUGUUGGGUUAAGUCCCGCAACGAGCGCAACCCUUAUCCUUUGUUGCCAGCGGUCCGGCCGGGAACUCAAAGGAGACUGCCAGUGAUAAACUGGAGGAAGGUGGGGAUGACGUCAAGUCAUCAUGGCCCUUACGACCAGGGCUACACACGUGCUACAAUGGCGCAUACAAAGAGAAGCGACCUCGCGAGAGCAAGCGGUCCUCAUAAAGUGCGUCGUAGUCCGGACUGGAGUCUSCAACUCGACUCCACGAAGUCGGAAUCGCUAGUAAUCGUGAAUCAGAAUGUCACGGUGAAUACGUUCCCGGCCCUUGUACACCCCCCCCGUCGCACCAUGGGAGUGGGUUCCAAAAGAAGUAGGUA